This is a long non-coding RNA of Triticum aestivum (bread wheat), 4919 nucleotides long. RefSeq lists it as uncharacterized. Lineage: Eukaryota; Viridiplantae; Streptophyta; Magnoliopsida; Poales; Poaceae. The transcript is spliced from 12 exons. The record is from RefSeq and is a predicted model, not a curated record.
GGGCCUGGCUUGACAGUGUGCGUGUUGUGUGUGCGUCGUCUGCGCCUUGGGUGAAAAAAACAAUUUAACCAUGUCAAUCCUGGACGACUCAUCCACCAAUCUCGCGUCCUCCUCCCCACCAAUCCCCUAUCCUCCUCCAGCCCACCAAUCCCCCGCGUCCUCCUCCCCACCAACCCUAGCCAUGCCCUCGCCGCCACCUCUCCUUCCCCCGUUCGUCCUCUCCCGCCGCCGUCACCACCCCUAUCUCUCCUCCUUUCUCCUCGACGCCAUCAACGCGAGUGGGCACUCGGUGGAUCUGGUGGUCAGUGCGGGAUGCAACAGCGCAUCUGGCCGGAGGAGAACGCGGCGGCUGCAUCUCCUGGCAAUGGUAGGGGGGGGGGAGGGGGGUGGAUGAGGAGGCGACAUCUCGGGAGGUAGGCAAGAGGAACCAGGCGGUUCUCCUUCCAUGGCGGUACCCCGACCUGUCGGAUCUUCAUCGUCAUCAGCCCGGCGGACAGUAAGGUGUUCUAUUUUUCAACGUGCUGCAGCUACCACUUUGCCACUGCCCUGACUCCUUCCUGCAGACCAUGGAUCUGUCGUCGAUGCAGAGCGUCAACAGGGUGGAGGUUUGCCGCCCUAGCAGACUCGUGUGUUGUUGCCGCCGCAAUCCUUCUCUUUGUUGGAGUCUUCCUCCUCUGGAGAGAAAAAAAUUGGUCUCUUUGACACGCUUGGGAUCGACGGAUCGUUCAUGCCAUGGUUGGAUUUGAAUGGGGCAGUGUCUAUCCAAAAUUUGUUUGGUUGACUGGACAAUUUGUUUGUUUGGUUGUCUUAAUGUAACCCGAUUCGCAUAAUUUUGAAAACAUCAGCAAAGAUUUCAGUGGCUGGGAGUGUUUGCCAGAGUGGAAACGAAGCAUUUGCUGGAAGGAGCUCAAGAUUUCGCUAUUACCCUGCUGAUAGUUUUGUGAGCAACCAUGUUGACAAGCUGGCAUCUCUUUGUUCUAUUCUAUUGACUUCUUGUGGCAUUAUGUAUGAAGCCCUUUAAGCACAAACCUUUCGACGCAAGGACUGUCAUGGGAUUUGGAGUGCUCAAUGGCAUCUUAAUUGGACUUCUCAACCAGAGUCUAGGUUUCAACUCUGUUGGUUUCUAUCAGAGCAAGUCGAGCGCAUUAGUUGGAUCCAGCUUCUUGAUAUUGCAGAGGACUCGUCAAAAGAUAUACAGGGUUCUCGGCUGGCUGCGAAGAUUUGACAAGAGGCACAAGUAAAAUAGAUCAUCUCUUGUGACUCUCAAGAUAUGUAUCCAGAGGGCAAGUCAGGUCUCGAAAUGCUGACUGAAUAUUCCAUGGCCUUUGUUUUUCUUGCUAGGUGGAUUACUACUUCCUUGGAUAUUUUCAGAAAAUAAAUGAAAUGUGCAGACCGACAACAUGGACGGCAGGUCUUGCGGCUCCCAGCGCCCUCAACCCCCCACUGACCCUCUCUCAAUUUUGAUCUCUCCUCUACUCUUCUGGGUGGCGGUGAGAGCGGGUGUGAAACAGUAGAGGCGGGAGAGGCGGCCAUAGGAAGUAUAUGAUAGGAAAAGAAUUGCUCUAUGGCAGUGCUUUGACUCGGUGACCAGAGACUGACUGAGUGUGCUUGCAGUUUGAGGUUGAUUUUUUCUGGUAUACAUAUAAUUGGAGGUAGGCGCCAUGGACGCCGCUCUUGUGCUCAUCAAGGUCUGCUGCUCCUUGUUCCAGUCCCAUGACAAGCAGCAGCAGUAGCAUCAUGGUUGGGUUGGAGCUACAGUGGCCAGCCACCGGGACGACACUGAUAGCCAAAGAAAGCUCCUUCCCCACCGCUGACAGCCAAAACCACUCUUGUGCUCAUCAAGGUCCCUUUCACCUCUCUAACCUCUGUGUUAAGUCUGUCUGGUUCUAGGCCGAUUCAGGUUUUUUGUUUUGUUUUUGCUUCCACUCUGUUUGAUUUAAGCGUGGUGGUCAGAUCCUCUUCAGAUGUCCAGUUGAGACACCUACCCAUUUCUUCUCUUUUUAUCUCUUCGGAGGAGAGGAUAGGAUGCUAACUAGCGAAGUACUAUACUACUACUACAUUUCAAACCAUAAUAAGGUCCUUCGGUAAAAACAAAACAAGAUUUGCAGCGUCACAGUAGCAAAAUUCCAGCAUCCACUAGCCACACAAAAAAGUAUGUAUCCAGUGAUAAUAUAACGAGAGAGGAAUUCAAGGAUUAGUUUAUUAUUAACCUAUGUAGUGUAUGCACUGGUAGUUGAUGGAGUUUCAAGCAGCAAGCAUGGAGCACCUUCUUCUUUCUAUCAUGUCACUUACCUGAUAAUUUUGGUAAUUCUCUCCGUAAUGUCAUUCAUAUACCUGAUAAAGCCAAUCUCUUUGGGGCUCUCUGUCAUUCAUAUGUUCAGUGAUGCAAUCUGAAUUAUUAUGUAGAGGUUACUCCAGUCCUCACUAUUCUUCUAUUUGUCCCUGUUUAGUGUUUUACUUUUUUUUAUCAGCAGCACAAUAGAUAACCAUAUCUACAUUUGUCUCUAUUUUCUGUCAGGUUAGGCAACAGGAUGGCAGUCACAGGAGCCAUUGCAUUUUCUUUGUCGCAAUGGCAUUAGGUAGUUGUACCUACUGCGGUUGUUACACUAAUAUCUAUUUAUUACAUGUUGCUAUAGUUACAAAGCUUCAACAGCUUACUAUAAAUUAGACUGGUUUGAUUCCUAGAUAUUAUUGUAUUUUACCCGUAGGAUCAAUUUCCAAUGAGUUGGUGCCUAGGGUCUUGUGGGGAGCACAUUUUCUUUAGCUGCUGCCAUUUAUUCUGCGGCUUUCGUACAACCUAGCACUCUUCUGUGGUGGGCAUAUGUUAUUUUGUACCAAUGAUAGAUACAGAAAGUGCAAGACUUCUACUCUCUACUUAAUGAACUGAUUUUGCUUCAGGAUAACUAGCUUGAUUAAUUAGCAUGUUUCUGUGAUCAAUGAAUUACUAAGGUUGUGACCCCAGCUUGGAGGCUUGAGUUCCUUCCGUAGUUCUUUAUUUUACUUAAAUGAUCAUGAACCCUUUACUUAACAUAUGUCCUUUUGUACCUUAGCAAAGGGUCUCGCCACCGCGCGCAGUCCACCUCUCCCCGCAGGCAUGCCGGCCACCUCCCCACCUGACGCACAUCUUUCCCAUGGGGCCAUGGAACACGGUGAGCAGCAGUGGCUGUGUCACUUGUAUUGAGCACACCAAUCUGCCUCGGUAGACGGCUGCUGAAGUUGACCCACAGGUUGGAGACAAAGAUAGUGUGACAAUUGACUGACCUUGACAUGUUUGAGAAUUAGGCAAUUGAUUGUGCCAUUUCUCUGCGCAUUGGUACUUACUUUUAAAACCGGUAGAUUUUAAGAAAUAUUUCCGAUGCAUUAUAGAAUGCCACCAAAACAGAAUAACUCUCCUGCCUAUUUCCAUUUAUUCUUAACAUUGCUUGUUUUUCCUUAUGAUGCUACACUAGACUGCAGUUUUUGUUGUCACUGCAAUGAUGUAUUUUUUGAUUCCAUCUGCUGUCGACGCAAUGCACAGAGGGUUCAACAACUGAAUAUUGUUAUGCUAACACAUGUUUAGUUGGUGUGUGUUUUGUCAGAUAAAAUGCAUGUUUCUCAGGAGACACAUACUGUAGUUAAUUCCGAAGGAGAAUAGCAACCUUUGCUUCUGCUAGAUACGUACUUAAAUUUAUUGAUAUUCAACUAUUUUUGUUGUUUCGGUUUAGUUCCAUCCAAGGCCACCAGUUGGUUAUAAGUACUUCCAAAUAGUGAUCACCCAAUCUUCUGUAGUAUGUAUAUACUGAUGGUAGUUUCUUCCACCGAAUAUGUGAACCUGGAGAAGACUCACUAUGAAGGUCUCCUGACAACUAAAGUUUUACCUGCUAUUAAAACGGUCGAAACAGAGUAUGCAGAUCUUCAGUAGCUUCGACAGAUUUUUUUUGAACUACGAUUGUUUCUGUAUGCUUCUUCUCUAAGAGAAAAUUGUGUUCUAUUGUAGUUACAGUCAGUGGGGGCCUGAAAAUUCACAUCACCAAAAGAAUUGUAGAAUUUGAUAAGAGAACAUUUUCUUAAUAAGUAAAUAAGACGCAAUUACAGUGUGUAACAUUCUGAUGAAUGAACCUGCUGCAAGAGGCAAGUGACGAUGCUUGAUUUUAUUAAUUGUCAGGAUGAAAUAUAAAGUAGUAAGGUAAGUGUGAGCGUUCACCUAAUUUGUUUUUUACCUAUUAAAUGGCCAGUUGGCGACGUACUGUCAACUUGGUACAUUCAACAUGCGUGUUCAGGUUUUAGGAUGAAAUUUAAUCCAAGAUCAUUACUUUAUGUUUUCCUACGGAUAUGUUGGCAUCUUUGACUUUGAUAUGUUCGUUGCACUCUAUUGGGCCUACUUUUGACCCAAGUACAUUGCCAUGCAGUCGUGUGAAAAAGUAUUGGGCUUGCAGUGAAAGAAGUUCCGGCCUUUUGAAGCAACAAUUGACAUGGUUGUACAUACAAGUUUCUUUCUUGGAUGUCUAUUAUUUGUUUUUCUGCUAGCUUUGAUUUCUCUUUUUGGUCAGUUGAAACGGUUAGUCUUGAUAGGUCGACCACUUAUAUUGUUUCGAAGGUUCAAUAAGCAUAUGGUAAAGAAAGGUAUCAAUAGAUUCACCAAUGUAGAUUACAAGAGUAAAGGUUUAUCUAAUGAGGCCUUGUCGCGGCGCUGCAAGUGUUGCCCCCCUCCUCCCCAAGGGCUAGGUGAAGGAGGGUGCAUGUGUGGUUCUUCUGCAGCUCGCAGCGAGGAUUCUUGUGUCCAACCUGCACAAGAAUGCCAAGAAGUCCUUCUCGGAGAUGAUUAAGGACAUGUACCUGCACUACAACGAGAGAUCUUGGCUGCUUUUUUGUGGCUUCCAAACUUGAAAUGUUUGUUUGGAAGUUAGUUUAGUUUUUUGUUGUGGAUUCACAGCUUCUCA